This 601-nucleotide long non-coding RNA is filed under the name Apteryx owenii (little spotted kiwi). RNAcentral describes it as "lncRNA (ENSAOWG00000015140.1)". The record is from RNAcentral. Lineage: Eukaryota; Metazoa; Chordata; Aves; Apterygiformes; Apterygidae.
AUUCAUUUAACUGAUAUGUGGUGAUUUUCUUCUUCCUUGCUCCAUCAGCCCAAGAACUUGAAGAAUGAAUGGAAUGAAUAUCAUGGAUCACUAGUGUUUUUCCAUUCUGAAAAUUGAGCAGGUACAGAAGGUGGGACCUUCCCCACUGCUACACGUGUAUUUCCAAGAUCUCAGUAACAUGCCAUGCCCAUGGGGAUAGAGAAGAGGUUUGAAUGAUGAAGUCGCUCAGAAUUGUUACUGUUUUGAUUCCCAUCUGAACAUUGCUGGUGAAAAACUACAUCUUCCUGACAAAAAAUUAGCUGCUCCCUGAAACCACUGGCUUUGAGUUCAAUUCCACUUUUUUGAGACUUCUGACCAGUUUUCUGCUCUGCAUCAGAGAAACCAACAUCCCUUACCUAUUCCUCAAAUAACCAAUGGCUUGUUGGAAUAAAGUUCUUAUGAAGGAGACCCGUGUUGAAUUCCCUGUUCUGCUGCUCUCUCAUGUCCUGAAAAUUCUGCAGAUGGAAAAUCACAUAUAUGCCUGUAACCCUCCAGAGGAGAAAGAGUGAUUCAAAGGCCCUUCUCAGACUAUGAAGAGGAGAAGGAGAACCAGACUUCAGGU